GCCCCCGUUGUCUAAUGGUUAUGACGUCAGACUUCUAUCUCUUAGCGGGUAUCUGGAGGUUGCGGGUUCGAAUCCCGCCGGGGGUU
This is a non-coding RNA of Hypsizygus marmoreus, 86 nucleotides long. NCBI's taxonomy places the organism in Eukaryota, Fungi, Basidiomycota, Agaricomycetes, Agaricales, Lyophyllaceae. The record is from Rfam.